AUAGAAUUCAGAAAUGGGGGGAGCAGACAGGGUGGUACUAAAGAGCCACCAAGUAACCGGUGGGAAAAUCGGCUCGAAGAGAAGACAUAAAUAAUCAGACCGAAGGCAUGAAAUGCACAGGCUCGUAAGUCAUGGGCAAUGGAGACUUGAAAUGCGGUUAAGUGCUGAGGGACGGUCACACGCGGACUGUUUGGAGGUUAAGUGCUGAGGGACGGUCACCCGCGGACUGUUUGGAGGCUCGCCUGGGCACCUGAGGAGUGGGCAUCGGUGAGGAGAGCGCGCAGCGGAUAACGCCCAUUGUUCACUGCGCCCCUUCUCGGAGGGUCCCCACCUCGAGCUCCUCUACCGCAGGAAGCCGCCCUCCCGCCCGGGCUUCAGGCCGUCUCCCUCGGACGCGCUUACCUGUUACCAGGGAACCACCAGCGCGUUCGAGAGAAGGACCGCGGGCCUCCGGGUCUGCUGCGGACGGCGCUGGAGCUGCGGCGGUGCGCACGGCUCGGUCCGCUCGCUCCCGCUGGCGCCGCGGGGACGAGCGCGCCCGCCCAGCCUCCCCCGCAACGCAGCGCCCCCUAGGGAGCGCGGGAGGACUCCCCGCCCUCCGCACGGCCCGUGGCGCUCCCACCCCCACUCGCGGACUUUCCGGCCCCUCGGCCGCCUGGCUGCCGAGAAUGAGCGGUCUGCCGUUCUCUAGUUCACUGAAUAAAGACUCGGGACCGCGGUGCCGUGGAGGAGCCCCGUUCUCAGCCGAAGGACUCCCGUGCUCACCCGCCCCUCUCCGCGCCACCCGCACAGUGGGUGAAUGAACCUGGCCCGGUUCCCCUCGGGACGGGGCGCAAGGGGCUGAGGCGCUUCUCGCCUCUCCCCCGCCCGGAGCCCUGUCAGGUCCGGGCUUUGGGCUGCACUUUGCCACGCAAUGCCUGGCGCGUGGAGGCCGCGCGAGAUGCCGGGGCCCGGUCUGGGUGCCAGGCCCUCACCCCGGAGCCCCACGCCCCAGUGCACCUGCGGGAGCGGCGGCCCUCGGGGCUGCGAAAGCCCCCUCCCACAGCCCCGCGGAGCCGUGCGCUCGGCCCGGAGCCCGACGGGUGUCGUAAUCGCGUCGCGGCCGUUUCCGCCCUCGGCCAGCCCCACCUCUGCCGGCCCGCCCUCGGCUCCCCCACCGCGAGGAGCGAGCCCGGGAAGCCCACACGGCGGGCACCGGGCGGGAGGCCCCUUCCAGCUCCGGCUGGGCGCCCCGAGGCCCGAGGACAGAAGAGUUCCAGAUUUCAGGAAGAAAACCUUGUACCUGCAUGCCUACCCCCCUUCUCUCUGGCCCUGUUAG
RNAcentral lists this long non-coding RNA (1318 nucleotides) under Urocitellus parryii (Arctic ground squirrel). RNAcentral describes it as "lncRNA (ENSUPAG00010003936.1)". Lineage: Eukaryota; Metazoa; Chordata; Mammalia; Rodentia; Sciuridae. The record is from RNAcentral.